Molecule: unclassified non-coding RNA, 1021 nt
Filed under: Hevea brasiliensis (rubber tree)
Lineage: Eukaryota; Viridiplantae; Streptophyta; Magnoliopsida; Malpighiales; Euphorbiaceae
Source: RNAcentral
AAAAAGGAAUUAGUAUCAUCUAACUAAUCAUAUGAUACUCUUCGAAUUCUAUUCAUCUACUGAUAUUUCAUCAUAUCCCAAUGCUCAUUAAACAAAGUAGUACACAGACUUGCUAAAUUAAAUGAGAGCUGAGGUUAUAUAAGCAGUGUCAUGAUUCAUCUUCAUCAGCCUCUGCAGCAGAUAUUUCAGAGUCCAAUUUAUUAAUCAGCUGCUCACUUAUAUAUUGUGCAACAGAUAUCAUGUCAGAAAUCACACUUGGAUCAAUGCCUGCACCUCCUCGUUUUGUCAACCCACAAAUAUGCCCUUUCCUAUUUAUGGAAACAGAAAUUGCAGAGCUCAUCUGGGAUUCCUCUUCUGAAGUAGCAUCUACAAUAUAGUGUCUCCCCACCUUUGUUAAGGUAACUUAUAACAGGAACCUCCGAUGUGUCAAAUUGAAGAAAUUCUUCAUCACUUAUGUCAACCUCUGGUUGCUCAUCACCUGAUGCAGCAGCUGUAACAUGGACUCUUGGGAUCCCUGUAUUGCUCAAAGCAGCCUUAAUUGCAGCACCAAGAGCAUCUAAAAGAUUUCCAUCUGAACUGACAACAAGGCCAUCAAUAUAAAGAUCCCAACAAAUUUUUCCUUCUGCAACUACUAGAGAUGAUAGAUCAAUCCCAGCACCUGCCCCACUUUUACCACCUAGGAGACAACGCUGAAGAGCAACUGAAAGUUCUGUUGACAGGUCCUCGCCGCCUCUGCCCUCAAAUGUUGGUUCUGCAACUGGGCUACAAUCGACAAAUAUAGCAACCUUUCCCUUAUCAGGCUGCAAUGCACUUGGCCUUCCAAGCUCAGCCUUCACACUAGCAAUAACCUCUGUUGCACCCAUCCUGAUUCGUGCCGAGCCAUUUGCCUGAGGGAUGACUCCAGUUUCAACAAAAAUGGGUCGAUAGGUAUCUCGUUUUCGACCAUCAGAGCGGAGAUUUUGAUUAAUGCCACCCUGUAUGAAAUGCUUUUCUCCAACUGAGAGUCCUACCAUUCCUAACA